CUUGAAGCUCUCAGUCUAUCACUGGCCACCCAUUGACAGUAAUAGUAUACUCUUGGCCUAUCACUGACAGCCAUGGCAAAACCUUCCUGAUUACUACAGUGGCUGGAGAAGGACAGAGGAAACAAUGCUGACUGGCACAUAGGGGACAACUUGUAUACUAAGCAGCUCAAAAACAAUUUAAUCCUGUAAAGUAACAUGGCACCCACACAAUUUUGCCCCAUAAUCUUAUAGAAAUUAAGUUAUGGGAUGAGAGGAUUCCAUUGAAGAUACAAUAUAUACACCAAAACAACUUUAUCGUAAUGAAGCAGUUUUGGUGUAUAGUUCAUGCGCCAGC
Pelobates cultripes (western spadefoot toad) is the source of this 334-nucleotide non-coding RNA. Lineage: Eukaryota; Metazoa; Chordata; Amphibia; Anura; Pelobatidae. The record is from the annotation of a GenBank genome assembly.